GAACGCUGGCGGCAAGCCUUACACAAGCAAGUCGAGCGGUAGCAUUUCUAGCUCGCUAGAAGAUGACGAGCGGCGGACGGGUGAGUAAUGCAUAGGAAUCUGGCCAAUAGGGGGGGAUAGCCCGGAGAAAUCCGGAUUAAUACCGCAUACACUCUAUGGAGAAAAAGCAGGGGAUCUUCGGACCUUGUGCUAUUGGAUGAGCCUAUGUCGGAUUAGUUAGUUGGUGGGGUAAAGGCCUACCAAGGCAGCGAUCCGUAGCUGGUCUUAGAGGAUGAUCAGCCACAUCGGGACUGAGACACGGCCCGAACUCCUACGGGAGGCAGCAGUGGGGAAUAUUGCACAAUGGGCGCAAGCCUGAUGCAGCUAUGCCGCGUGUGUGAAGAAGGCCUUAGGGUUGUAAAGCACUUUCAGUAGUGAGGAAAAGUGUUGUGUUAAUAGCGCAAUACUGUGACGUUAGCUACAGAAGAAGGACCGGCAAACUCCGUG
Molecule: ribosomal RNA, 486 nt
Filed under: uncultured bacterium
Lineage: Bacteria
Description: bacterial SSU rRNA
Rfam family: Bacterial small subunit ribosomal RNA
Source: RNAcentral